This 389-nucleotide ribosomal RNA is filed under the name uncultured bacterium. Its description in RNAcentral is "bacterial SSU rRNA". It matches the Rfam family "Bacterial small subunit ribosomal RNA", at positions 29 to 419 of the family's 1533-position model. The record is from RNAcentral.
AUUGAACGCUGGCGGCAUGCUUUACACAUGCAAGUCGAACGGCAGCACGGGCUUCGGCCUGGUGGCGAGUGGCGAACGGGUGAGUAAUGCAUCGGAACGUACCGUGUAAUGGGGGAUAACGUAGCGAAAGUUACGCUAAUACCGCAUACGCCCUGAGGGGGAAAGCGGGGGAUCGUAAGACCUCGCGUUAUACGAGCGGCCGAUGUCGGAUUAGCUAGUUGGUGGGGUAAAGGCCUACCAAGGCGACGAUCCGUAGCGGGUCUGAGAGGAUGAUCCGCCACACUGGGACUGAGACACGGCCCAGACUCCUACGGGAGGCAGCAGUGGGGAAUUUUGGACAAUGGGCGCAAGCCUGAUCCAGCCAUGCCGCGUGAGUGAAGAAGGCCUGG